Molecule: unclassified non-coding RNA, 664 nt
Filed under: Hevea brasiliensis (rubber tree)
Lineage: Eukaryota; Viridiplantae; Streptophyta; Magnoliopsida; Malpighiales; Euphorbiaceae
Source: RNAcentral
ACCACCCAAAGCAGUGGGUUCGGUGGGAUCAGUUUGCCUUAGAACAGAACCUUAUAAUCCCCAUUCUCUACGCAAUCUUUCUUUAGUAUUAUCCUUAACUUGUUUCAGAAGCACUUAGCUUUAGGGCUAUACCAACUGCAAAUUAGACUUCCCAUUCUGUUUUAAAUCUUCCGUGCAGACGACAAAGAGCAUCAAUUCGAUCUUUACACUUUAUACAGGAAUUUCCAGUUCUUUCCACUCCCUUUCCUUCUUCAUCUAAUUCUUCUCUGUAUUUCCCUCUUUUUCCGACCCCUAAAUUUUGAACCAGUAAGGAUGAUAUGGGUGGCUUAUUGUCAUAUCUUAAGCCUAAGAAAGAAGUUAUUAACGGUGGUGGAAGUAUUAGCAGCGGCAACGGCAACAUAGUCACUAGGAGAAGAACAUCUUCAUCUUUUUCAUCUUCACAUUAUCCAACCAUGUCUAGAGAACAAUCACUGGGUAAUUCCACCAGUAGCAGUCGAGCAAAGGAUGCUGCUCUUCAAAAGGUGUUAUCAAUCAAGAAAAAAUAUGCUUUUAUACCUGACAAUUUUUCAUCCUUGGAACAGGUUACAGCAUCCUUGAGAGAAGCUGGCUUGGAAUCAUCAAAUCUCAUUGUGGGCUUUGAUUUCACUAAAAGCAAUGAAUGGAC